ACGGGAGGCAGCAGUGAGGAAUAUUGGACAAUGGNCGGNAGNCUGAUCCAGCCAUGCCGCGUGCAGGAUGACNGCCCUAUGGGUUGUAAACUGCUUUUAUACGAGGGCAUCAGCAAAAUAGCGCUUGACCUACGUGUAGGCUGUCUGACGUUACCGUAAUGAAUAAUGACCGGAUUAAANNUCCGACCUGGGCAGUACGACCNCGCGGUUGAAACUAAACGGAAUUGUCCGGGCGUUAUCCGGAAUCAUUGGGUUUAAAGGGUCCGUAUGCGGGCCUGUAAGUCAGGGGUGAAAGUUUGUGGCUCAACCAUAAAAUUGCCUUUGAUACUGCAGGUCUUGAGUCAUGGUGGGGUUGCCGGAACAUGUGGUGUAGCGGUGAAAUGCAUAGAUAUCACAUAGAACACCGAUCGCGAAGGCAGGUGACCAACCAUGUACUGACGCUGAUGGACGAAAGCGUGGGUAGCGAACGGGAUUAGAUACCCCGGUAGUCCACGCCGUAAACGAUGGAUACUAGCUGUGGGGACUUCGGUCUCCGUGGCCAAGCGAAAGUGAUAAGUAUCCCACCUGGGGAGUACGUUCGCAAGAAUGAAACUNAAANGAAUUGACGG
Molecule: ribosomal RNA, 608 nt
Filed under: uncultured bacterium
Lineage: Bacteria
Description: bacterial SSU rRNA
Rfam family: Bacterial small subunit ribosomal RNA
Source: RNAcentral